Molecule: RNA transcript, 1970 nt
Organism: Drosophila sechellia
Lineage: Eukaryota; Metazoa; Arthropoda; Insecta; Diptera; Drosophilidae
Gene: eIF4A
Gene name: eukaryotic translation initiation factor 4A
Exons: 6
Source: RefSeq, a predicted model, not a curated record
CGGACUCGCCGCUUGUCGCUGAAAACGGCUGCCUAUCUAUCGCUUUCGGUCUCAUACGUAAAGUCACCGCUUCGCAGAACGCAUCGCAGCACAAACGUAACGGACUAAAAGCAAAACGCUCGCUAGCUCGAGAAAACAACACAGUCGGCGUUCGGCCCAAAUUCUCCGUUAUUCGUUCUAGACAAAUAAGCAAGCAGUUGAUUGAGUGAACCGGGCCCAAGCCGUCGAAAUUCAGGAUAUAAGUUUACCUAGUCAAUUCUUUAUUGUUGAUAAUGGAUGACCGAAAUGAGAUACCUCAGGAUGGCCCCGCCAGCAUGGAACCCGAGGGCGUCAUCGAGUCCACCUGGCACGAGGUGUACGACAACUUCGAUGACAUGAACUUGCGCGAGGAGCUGCUGCGCGGCAUCUACGGUUAUGGUUUCGAGAAGCCGUCGGCCAUCCAGCAGCGCGCCAUCAUUCCCUGUGUGAGGGGUCGCGAUGUCAUUGCCCAGGCUCAGUCGGGAACUGGCAAGACUGCCACCUUCUCGAUUGCUAUCCUUCAGCAAAUCGACACGUCCAUUCGCGAGUGCCAGGCGCUGAUCCUGGCCCCCACUCGCGAGUUGGCCACGCAGAUCCAGCGCGUGGUGAUGGCGCUCGGCGAGUACAUGAAGGUGCACUCGCACGCCUGCAUUGGCGGCACUAACGUGCGCGAAGACGCCCGCAUCCUGGAAUCCGGUUGCCAUGUGGUGGUGGGUACUCCUGGCCGCGUCUACGACAUGAUCAACCGCAAGGUGCUGCGCACCCAGUACAUCAAGCUUUUCGUGCUGGAUGAGGCCGAUGAGAUGUUGUCCCGCGGUUUCAAGGAUCAGAUCCAGGAUGUCUUCAAGAUGCUGCCCCCAGAUGUGCAGGUCAUCCUUCUGUCCGCCACCAUGCCGCCGGAUGUGCUCGAAGUGAGCCGUUGCUUCAUGCGCGAUCCCGUCAGCAUCCUGGUUAAGAAGGAGGAACUGACACUUGAGGGUAUCAAGCAGUUCUACGUCAACGUGAAGCAGGAGAACUGGAAACUGGGCACCCUUUGCGAUCUGUACGAUACGUUGUCCAUCACCCAGUCGGUUAUCUUCUGCAACACCCGUCGCAAGGUGGACCAGCUGACCCAGGAGAUGUCUCUCCACAACUUCACCGUCUCGGCCAUGCACGGUGACAUGGAACAGCGUGAUCGCGAGGUCAUCAUGAAACAAUUCCGUUCGGGCUCGUCUCGUGUUCUGAUUACCACUGAUUUACUGGCGCGCGGUAUUGAUGUUCAGCAGGUGUCGUUGGUCAUCAACUAUGAUCUGCCCUCGAACCGCGAGAACUACAUUCAUAGAAUUGGUCGCGGUGGUCGUUUCGGUCGCAAGGGUGUUGCGAUCAACUUCAUUACAGAUGAAGAUCGACGAAUCCUUAAGGAUAUUGAACAGUUCUACCACACAACAAUUGAGGAAAUGCCUGCUAAUAUUGCCGAUUUGAUUUAAAUUUUUUCUGCUGAGCCGCAAAACAACUAAGAAAGAAUUCUAAACAAAAAGCAGCCGACCGACCAACCAACAAAAGGACUAUACCAGGACAGAGCAGCAACAUCUUCAGCAGCGGCGCAGCAGCAGCAACAUCAGCGGCAGCGGAGCGGCAGCAACACCACCUAGCUAGAGCUUACAAUAUAUCGCCGAUUAGCCGGAACCCCUCUGUAUCCAUUUAGUUCUCUGUGUAUCAUCAAUUUUAAAACUGCGUCGUCAACCAGCAACAACAAAUACAUACAAAUAUAUAAAAAAAAAACAACUAAAAACAAUAUUUGCAUCUAUCUAAAGAAAGUAAUAUCUGAAAACCAGGUACGAGAUACCAAUUGCUAAGAAGAGCGAGCCACUAAAAGCAAGAGCCACAAUAUCAGAACACCUUUUUGUCGCACCUUUGUUUUAGCUUUUUCUAGAACUAUUGAUAAAAAUAUAUUAAAACAAAAUACAUAUGUA